UUGAAACACCAGUUCCUGUAUGAUUACCAAAGUUAAGCAACAUUGAACCUGGUCAGUACCUAGAUGGGUGAGUGCUUGGGAAUACCAAGUGCUGUAAU
Non-coding RNA from Acanthosepion pharaonis, 98 nucleotides. Lineage: Eukaryota; Metazoa; Mollusca; Cephalopoda; Sepiida; Sepiidae. The record is from the annotation of a GenBank genome assembly.